UCCCAACUUAGCCCAAAUCAGCCCAAAUUUAGCCACAAUUUAGCCACAAUUUUUCCCAUUUUUUCCCAUUUUUUUCCCAUUUUUUUCCAAUUUUUUUCCCAUUUUUUUUCUAUUUUUUUCCCAUUUUUUUCCCAUUUUUAUCCCAUUUUUUCCUUAAUUUUUCCCCAAUUUUUCCCCAUUUUUUUCCCAAUUUUUCCCAAUUUUUCCCCAAUUUUUCCCCAUUUUUUUCCUAUUUUUCCCCAUUUUUUCCCAUUUUUUUCACAUUUUUAUCCCAUUUUUUCCCAUUUUUUCCCCAAUUUUUCCCCAAUUUUUCCCCAAUUUUUCCCCAAUUUUCCCCAAUUUUUCCCCAAUUUUUCCCCAUUUUUUCCCCAAUUUUUUCCCCAAUUUUCCCCCAAUUUUUCCCCAUUUUUCCCCCAAUUUUUCCCAAUUUUUCCCCAAUUUUUCCCCAAUUUUCCCCCAAUUUUUCCCCAAUUUUUCCCCAAUUUUUCCCCAUUUUUUCCCCAUUUUUUCCCCAUUUUUUUCCCAUUUUUUCCCCAUUUUUUUCCCAUUUUUCCCCCAAUUUUUUCCCCAUUUUUCCCCAUUUUUCCCCCAUUUUUCCCCAUUUUUCCCCAUUUUUUCUCCAUUUUUUCCCCAAUUUCCCCCAAUUUUCCCUCCCAUUUUAUUCCAAUUUUUCCCCCAUUUUUCCCCCUUUUUCCCCCAAUUUUUCCCCAUUUUUCCCUCAUUUUUCCCCAUUUUUUCCCCAUUUUUUCCCAUUUUUCCCUCAUUUUUUCCCCAAUUUUUUCCCAUUUUUUCCUCAAUUUUCCUCCCAUUUUAUUCCAAUUUUUCCCAAUUUUUUCCUCUUUUUCCCUCAAUUUUCCCCCAUUUUUACCCCAUUUUUUCCCCAUUUUUUCCCCAUUUUUCCUCCAAUUUUCCCCCAAUUUUUCCCCAUUUUUUCCCAUUUUUUCCCCAUUUUCCCCCCAUUUUUCCCCAUUUUUCCCCCAUUUUUUCUCCAUUUUUCCCCAUUUUUUUCCCCAUUUCCCCUCCCAUUUUAUUCCAAUUUUUUCCCCAUUUUUCCCCAUUUUUUUCCCAUUUUUAUCCCAUUUUUUUCCCAAUUUUUCCCAUUUUUUUCCCAAUUUUUCCCCCAAUUUUUCCCCAAUUUUCCCCCAAUUUUUCCCCAUUUUUCCCCAUUUUUUCCCCAAUUUUUCCCCAAUUUUUCCCCAAUUUUUUCCCAUUUUUUCCCCAAUUUUUCCCCAAUUUUUUCCCUUUUUUUCCCAUUUUUUCCCCAAUUUUUCCCCAAUUUUUCCCCAAUUUUUCCCCAAUUUUUCCCCAUUUUUUCCCCAUUUUUUCCCCAAUUUUUCCCCAUUUUUUCCCCAAUUUUCCCCCAAUUUUUCCCCAAUUUUUCCCCAUUUUUCCCCAUUUUUUCCCCAAUUUUUCCCCAUUUUUCCCAACCCCGAGGAAAUUCCCAGCAGGACCAUCCCGACCGCCUGCGUCCGUCCCACCCAUCCCCUGCGCAGCUUCGCCAAUGCCGUGGAUCCCAACGUCCCCUACCCGCCCCUGCUGGCCCAAGGUAACAUCCCAUAA
Molecule: long non-coding RNA, 1560 nt
Organism: Cyanistes caeruleus (blue tit)
Lineage: Eukaryota; Metazoa; Chordata; Aves; Passeriformes; Paridae
Source: Ensembl